AUUGAACGCUGGCGGCAGGCUUAACACAUGCAAGUCGAGCGGAGCGAGGGUGCUUGCACCUUAGCUUAGCGGCGGACGGGUGAGUAAUGCUUAGGAAUCUGCCUAUUAGUGGGGGACAACAUUCCGAAAGGAAUGCUAAUACCGCAUACGCCCUACGGGGGGAAGCAGGGGAUCUUCGGACCUUGCGCUAAUAGAUGAGCCUAAGUCGGAUUAGCUAGUUGGUGGGGUAAAGGCCUACCAAGGCGACGAUCUGUAGCGGGUCUGAGAGGAUGGUCCGCCACACUGGGACUGAGACACGGCCCAGACUCCGACGGGAGGCAGCAGUGGGGAAUAUUGGACAAUGGGCGGAAGCCUGAUCCAGCCAUGCCGCGUGUGUGAAGAAGGCCUUUUGGUUGUAAAGCACUUUAAGCGAGGAGGAGGCUACUUAGAUUAAUACUCUGGGAUAGUGGACGUUACUCGCAGAAUAAGCACCGGCUAACUCUGUGCCAGCAGCCGCCGUAA
RNAcentral lists this ribosomal RNA (501 nucleotides) under uncultured bacterium. RNAcentral's name for it is "partial 16S ribosomal RNA". It matches the Rfam family "Bacterial small subunit ribosomal RNA", at positions 30 to 523 of the family's 1533-position model. The record is from RNAcentral.